This 357-nucleotide unclassified non-coding RNA is filed under the name soil metagenome. Its description in RNAcentral is "partial contains 5.8S ribosomal RNA, internal transcribed spacer 2, and large subunit ribosomal RNA". The stretch from base 1 to 120 matches the Rfam family "5.8S ribosomal RNA", at positions 35 to 154 of the family's 154-position model. The record is from RNAcentral.
GAUGAAGAACGUAGCGAAAUGCGAUAAGUAAUGUGAAUUGCAGAAUUCAGUGAAUCAUCGAAUCUUUGAACGCACAUUGCGCCCGUUAGCAUUCUAGCGGGCAUGCCUGUCCGAGCGCCAUUUCAACCCUCAGGGUCCCCGUUCCGGCGGGGAACCUGGUGUUGGGGAUCGGCCCGCCCCGUGCGGCGCCGUCCCCCAAAUUCAGUGGCGGUCUCGCUGCAGCCUCCCCUGCGUAGUAGUUACAACCUCGCAUCGGAGCUCAGCGCGGCCACGCCGUAAAACCCCCGACUUUCUGAACGUUGACCUCGGAUCAGGUAGGAAUACCCGCUGAACUUAAGCAUAUCAAUAAGCGGAGGA